Molecule: long non-coding RNA, 1371 nt
Filed under: Oncorhynchus mykiss (rainbow trout)
Lineage: Eukaryota; Metazoa; Chordata; Actinopteri; Salmoniformes; Salmonidae
Description: lncRNA (ENSOMYG00000076671.1)
Source: RNAcentral
UUGUUUUGUCCCUCAACGCUGGCUUGUUGUGUCCCUCAACGCUGGCUUGUUGUGUCCCUCAACGCUGGCUUGUUGUGUCCCUCAGCGCUGGAGGUUAUUUGCUUCAUGCAGUUUGUGUCAAAUCAGAAAUGACUACAGUGAAAAUGGAAAGAUGAUUUUCACAUGUUGGAUUUUGGAGGAAAGAUGCACUUUAAAAAUUGGUAUUUGUUUGUUUAGAAAUACAUACCUAUCUUUUAAGCAGUCCUGUGAACAUUCUCCAGUUUUUCUAUAACUCCUGGCUGAGGGCAUUCGUUGAACUAUUUGAGUGGUUGCCCCCACUGUUUUCCUAGACGGUGUCAUUGUAUAACUCAGUAACCAAGGUAAGUAACUACCACACAGUGAGUCCACUUGUUGUGUUUCUUCUCUAGCUCCACAAGCUGCUCACUGACCUGCCUGAUGACGUGUUGUUUCUUCUUCUCUAGCUCCACAAGCUGCUCACUGACCUGCCUGAUGACGUGUUGUUUCUUCUUCUCUAGCUCCACAAGCUGCUCACUGACCUGCCUGAUGACGUGUUGUUUCUUCUUCUCUAGCUCCACAAGCUGCUCACUGACCUGCCCGAUGACGUGUUGUUUCUUCUUCUCUAGCUCCACAAGCUGCUCACUGACCUGCCUGAUGACGUGUUGUUUCUUCUUCUCUAGCUCCACAAGCUGCUCACUGACCUGCCUGAUGACGUGUUGUUUCUUCUUCUCUAGCUCCACAAGCUGCUCACUGACCUGCCCGAUGACGUGUUGUUUCUUCUUCUCUAGCUCCACAAGCUGCUCACUGACCUGCCCGAUGACGUGUUGUUUCUUCUUCUCUAGCUCCACAAGCUGCUCACUGACCUGCCUGAUGACGUGUUGUUUCUUCUUCUCUAGCUCCACAAGCUGCUCACUGACCUGCCUGAUGACGUGUUGUUUCUUCUUCUCUAGCUCCACAAGCUGCUCACUGACCUGCCUGAUGACGUGUUGUUUCUUCUUCUCUAGCUCCACAAGCUGCUCACUGACCUGCCCGAUGACGUGUUGUUUCUUCUUCUCUAGCUCCACAAGCUGCUCACUGACCUGCCUGAUGACAUGCUGGAGGACAGCAGAGACUCCUCCUCUCCUGAGCUGGACUGCUCUGCCUGCAGCAACCCAGACACACGGAACAGAUCACAACAGCCUACGUGGAAUCACCAACACACUGAAUGGUCCGAUCGCCAAACACCUGCCUCACGUGAAGAAAACUAUGAGAAGGACUAUGACCACGGCUCCUACCAUGAAGAGUACCCCUACGAGGAGGCUGCUGUCGUUGGGCAGAUCAACGGCCAUGCCAACCAUGCCAGUCACCCCCAGGACUGGGACCAGCAAGGACUGA